GCGUGGGUCGGCCCGCUGUACUGGAUCCAGUGGGCUGGGGGACACCGCCGCCUACAUCCCCGCGGGCGGCGGACCGGUCCGGGAGGCGAACUCCGCCUCCCGGACUGUG
This 109-nucleotide non-coding RNA is filed under the name Streptomyces olivochromogenes. RNAcentral's name for it is "Streptomyces RNA 4115". It matches the Rfam family "Streptomyces RNA 4115". From Rfam's summary of the family: Identified by deep sequencing of transcriptome at the end of exponential growth phase. RNAcentral also lists the same sequence under 4 other names. The record is from Rfam by way of RNAcentral. Lineage: Bacteria; Bacillati; Actinomycetota; Actinomycetes; Kitasatosporales; Streptomycetaceae.